This 217-nucleotide unclassified non-coding RNA is filed under the name fungal sp. Its description in RNAcentral is "partial internal transcribed spacer region". The stretch from base 1 to 46 matches the Rfam family "Eukaryotic small subunit ribosomal RNA", at positions 1786 to 1831 of the family's 1831-position model. The record is from RNAcentral. Lineage: Eukaryota; Fungi.
AAGUCGUAACAAGGUAUCCGUAGGUGAACCUGCGGAUGGAUCAUUAUAGGAUGAUGGGUGAUUGUGAGUGGUUUUAUUAAUAGUUUGAGCGGUGUUGGUUGGGAAGCGAAGCAGGAUUGCCAAGCAAGACAGCCAACAUUGCCUCACGUUAAACUCUAUAAAUCUAACAAUUACAUACAACAAAAAACAACUUUUAGCAACGGAUCUCUUGGCUCUC